AGAGUUUGAUCAUGGCUCAGGACGAACGCUGGCGGCGUGCUUAACACAUGCAAGUCGAGCGGUAAGGCCCUUCGGGGUACACGAGCGGCGAACGGGUGAGUAACACGUGGGUGAUCUGCCUCGCACUCUGGGAUAAGCCUGGGAAACUGGGUCUAAUACCGGAUAUGAGCCGGGACUGCAUGGUCCUGGUUGGAAAGGUU
RNAcentral lists this ribosomal RNA (200 nucleotides) under uncultured bacterium. Its description in RNAcentral is "partial 16S ribosomal RNA". It matches the Rfam family "Bacterial small subunit ribosomal RNA", at positions 8 to 210 of the family's 1533-position model. The record is from RNAcentral.